RNAcentral lists this ribosomal RNA (574 nucleotides) under uncultured bacterium. RNAcentral describes it as "bacterial SSU rRNA". It matches the Rfam family "Bacterial small subunit ribosomal RNA", at positions 271 to 842 of the family's 1533-position model. The record is from RNAcentral.
UGGCGACGAUGCGUAGGGGUUCUGAGAGGAAGGUCCCCCACACUGGUACUGAGACACGGACCAGACUCCUACGGGAGGCAGCAGUGAGGGAUAUUGGUCAAUGGGAGAGAUCCUGAACCAGCCAAGCCGCGUGAGGGAAGACGGCCCUAUGGGUUGUAAACCUCUUUUGUCGGAGAACAAAACCCGGGACGAGUCCCGGACUGCGUGUAUCCGAAGAAAAAGCAUCGGCUAACUCCGUGCCAGCAGCCGCGGUAAUACGGAGGAUGCGAGCGUUAUCCGGAUUUAUUGGGUUUAAAGGGUGCGUAGGCGGUCUGUUAAGUCAGCGGUAAAAUUGCGGGGCUCAACCCCGUCGAGCCGUUGAAACUGGCAGACUUGAGUUGGCGAGAAGUACGCGGAAUGCGCGGUGUAGCGGUGAAAUGCAUAGAUAUCGCGCAGAACUCCGAUUGCGAAGGCAGCGUACCGGCGCCAGACUGACGCUGAGGCACGAAAGCGUGGGGAUCGAACAGGAUUAGAUACCCUGGUAGUCCACGCAGUAAACGAUGAAUGCUGGUUGUCCGGGUCGAAUGAGACCUGG